RNAcentral lists this ribosomal RNA (274 nucleotides) under uncultured bacterium. RNAcentral describes it as "partial 16S ribosomal RNA". It matches the Rfam family "Bacterial small subunit ribosomal RNA", at positions 523 to 796 of the family's 1533-position model. The record is from RNAcentral.
AUACGGAGGGUGCGAGCGUUAAUCAGAAUUACUGGGCGUAAAGCGUGCGUAGGCGGUUUGCUAAGUCAGAUGUGAAAGCCCCGGGCCUAACCUGGGAACUGCAUUUGAUACUGGCAGACUAGAGUAUGAUAGAGGGGGGUAGAAUUCCUGGUGUAGCGGUGAAAUGCGUAGAUAUCAGGAGGAAUACCAGUGGCGAAGGCGGCCCCCUGGAUCAAUACUGACGCUCAGGUACGAAAGCGUGGGGAGCGAACAGGAUUAGAUACCCUUGUAGUCC